Molecule: transfer RNA, 73 nt
Filed under: Bos taurus (domestic cattle)
Lineage: Eukaryota; Metazoa; Chordata; Mammalia; Artiodactyla; Bovidae
Also listed under: 3 other names
Rfam family: tRNA
About the family: Transfer RNA (tRNA) molecules are approximately 80 nucleotides in length. Their secondary structure includes four short double-helical elements and three loops (D, anti-codon, and T loops).
Source: Rfam by way of RNAcentral
ACCCUGGUGGCUCAGAUGGUUAAAGCACCUGUUUGCAAUGCAGGAGACCCAGGUUCGAUCCCUGGGUUGGGAA